RNAcentral lists this long non-coding RNA (262 nucleotides) under Struthio camelus australis. Its description in RNAcentral is "lncRNA (ENSSCUG00000003372.1)". The record is from RNAcentral. Lineage: Eukaryota; Metazoa; Chordata; Aves; Struthioniformes; Struthionidae.
AAACAUCAUUUCAAAUGCCAUCUAGCGGAAUUUAAGACGCGAUCCAGAAAGGCAGGUGAUCUUCUAGUGGACUGAAAACCUGGCUGGUGGAAGGGCAGUGAAGCACAUGGAGUCCAGCAGAGGGUUUCACCAGCCUCAGCUUGAAAGGAGGUGAUUUGCUGGCAGAAAGCAGACCUGUUCACCAGAGCUUUGCGGGGGGUGAGGGGCAUAACCCCCAACCGAUCUGGAGGUAUUGUUAGUGGCUCCUGCACACCCUGAGCGG